GGAUCAUUACUGAGUGUAAAAACUCCAAACCUUUGUGAACAUACCAAUGUUGCUUCGGCGGCCUCGUCCCGCGGCGCUUCGGCGACCCGGACCCAGGCGACCGCCGGAGGCUCCAAACUCUUGUCUUUACAGUGUAUUUCUGAGUGGCAUAAGCAAAUAAAUCAAAACUUUCAGCAACGGAUCUCUUGGUUCUGGCAUCGAUGAAGAACGCAGCAAAAUGCGAUAAGUAAUGUGAAUUGCAGAAUUCAGUGAAUCAUCGAAUCUUUGAACGCACAUUGCGCCCGCCAGUAUUCUGGCGGGCAUGCCUGUCUGAGCGUCAUUUCAACCCUCAGGGCCCGUCCGCGGGACCUGGCGUUGGGGAUCAGCCCUCCGGGGCUGGCCCUUAAAACCAGUGGCGGUUCCACAGCGACCUCCUCCGUGCAGUAGUGAUACCUCGCGGCUGGAAAGCAGUGCGGACCGAGCCGUAAAACCCCCCACUUCUCAAGGUUGACCUC
Molecule: ribosomal RNA, 494 nt
Filed under: Acremonium alternatum
Lineage: Eukaryota; Fungi; Ascomycota; Sordariomycetes; Hypocreales; Bionectriaceae
Description: eukaryotic LSU rRNA
Rfam family: 5.8S ribosomal RNA (bases 166-319)
Source: RNAcentral